RNAcentral lists this long non-coding RNA (236 nucleotides) under Mytilus galloprovincialis (Mediterranean mussel). The record is from RNAcentral. Lineage: Eukaryota; Metazoa; Mollusca; Bivalvia; Mytilida; Mytilidae.
GCGUGUGUUACAUUUUAGUGUUGUGUUUCUGUUGUGUCGUAGUUUUCCUGUUAUAUUUGAUGUGCUUCCUUUAGUUUAAGUUUGUAACCACGGAUUUCUUUUUUUUCUCAAUUAAUUUAUGACUUUCGAACAGCGGUAUACUACUGUUGCCUUUAUUUAACACAAUAAUCGGACAAUGUCUGAAAAAGUCGAUUGCUUUUUCUUCUGCAAACAACAACGAACAUCAUUUGAAAAAC